GACGAACGCUGGCGGCGUGCUUAACACAUGCAAGUCGAGCGGUAAGGCCCUUUCGGGGGUACACGAGCGGCGAACGGGUGAGUAACACGUGGGUGACCUGCCCUUAGCUCUGGGAUAAGCCUGGGAAACUGGGUCUAAUACCGGAUAUGACUCCAUGACGCAUGUUGUGGGGUGGAAAGCCUUGUGCGGCUAGGGAUGGGCCCGCGGCCUAUCAGCUUGUUGGUGGGGUGAUGGCCUACCAAGGCGACGACGGGUAGCCGGCCUGAGAGGGCGACCGGCCACACCGGGACUGAGACACGGCCCAGACUCCUACGGGAGGCAGCAGUGGGGAAUCUUGCGCAAUGGGCGAAAGCCUGACGCAGCGACGCCGCGUGAGGGAUGACGGCC
RNAcentral lists this ribosomal RNA (387 nucleotides) under uncultured bacterium. RNAcentral's name for it is "bacterial SSU rRNA". It matches the Rfam family "Bacterial small subunit ribosomal RNA", at positions 28 to 416 of the family's 1533-position model. The record is from RNAcentral.